RNAcentral lists this unclassified non-coding RNA (348 nucleotides) under soil metagenome. RNAcentral describes it as "partial contains 5.8S ribosomal RNA, internal transcribed spacer 2, and large subunit ribosomal RNA". The stretch from base 1 to 120 matches the Rfam family "5.8S ribosomal RNA", at positions 35 to 154 of the family's 154-position model. The record is from RNAcentral.
GAUGAAGAACGUAGUGAAAUGCGAUAAGUAGUGUGAAUUGCAGAAUUCAGUGAAUCAUCGAAUCUUUGAACGCACAUUGCGCCCGCUGGUAUUCCGGCGGGCAUGCCUGUUCGAGCGUCAUUUCAACCCUCAAGCCCCCGGGUUUGGUGUUGGGGAUCGGCUCUGCCCUUCUGGGCGGUGCCGCCCCCGAAAUACAUUGGCGGUCUCGCUGCAGCCUCCAUUGCGUAGUAGCUAACACCUCGCAACUGGAACGCGGCGCGGCCAUGCCGUAAAACCCCAACUUCUGAAUGUUGACCUCGGAUCAGGUAGGAAUACCCGCUGAACUUAAGCAUAUCAAUAAGCGGAGGA